GACCGCGUAGCUCAGUUGGCAGAGCAUUGUGCUAGUAUUCCACUUAUUCCAAAGGUCGUAGGUUCGGAUCCCACCGUGGUCA
Molecule: non-coding RNA, 82 nt
Organism: Paramuricea clavata
Lineage: Eukaryota; Metazoa; Cnidaria; Anthozoa; Malacalcyonacea; Plexauridae
Source: the annotation of a GenBank genome assembly